CAGAGUUGCAAAACUCCCACAACCAUCGCUAAUCCUUACCUGUAUCGUUUCCUCGGCCUGGCGGUCCGGAGGCCUUCGGCCCCUAACCGCGGUCCCCCUUCGCGGGGGGAGGCUACCCGCCGGAGGGCCGAACUAAACUCUUAUAUCUUAUGGCUCUCUGAGUACACUUUUAAAUAAGUUA
This 181-nucleotide unclassified non-coding RNA is filed under the name soil metagenome. RNAcentral's name for it is "partial internal transcribed spacer 1". The record is from RNAcentral.